This 293-nucleotide ribosomal RNA is filed under the name uncultured bacterium. Its description in RNAcentral is "partial 16S ribosomal RNA". It matches the Rfam family "Bacterial small subunit ribosomal RNA", at positions 775 to 1067 of the family's 1533-position model. The record is from RNAcentral.
GGAUUAGAUACCCUGGUAGUCCAUGCCGUAAACGAUGUCUACUAGCCGUUGGGGCCUUUGAGGCUUUAGUGGCGCAGCUAACGCGAUAAGUAGACCGCCUGGGGAGUACGGUCGCAAGACUAAAACUCAAAUGAAUUGACGGGGGCCCGCACAAGCGGUGGAGCAUGUGGUUUAAUUCGAUGCAACGCGAAGAACCUUACCUGGUCUUGACAUAGUAAGAACUUUCCAGAGAUGGAUUGGUGCCUUCGGGAACUUACAUACAGGUGCUGCAUGGCUGUCGUCAGCUCGUGCCG